GACGAACGCUGGCGGCGCGCCUAACACAUGCAAGUCGAACGAGCGAGAGAGAGCUUGCUUUCUCGAGCGAGUGGCGAACGGGUGAGUAACGCGUGAGGAACCUGCCUCAAAGAGGGGGACAACAGUUGGAAACGACUGCUAAUACCGCAUAAGCCCGCGGUGCCGCAUGGCACAGAGGGAAAAGGAGCAAUCCGCUUUGAGAUGGCCUCGCGUCCGAUUAGCUAGUUGGUGAGGUAAUGGCCCACCAAGGCGACGAUCGGUAGCCGGACUGAGAGGUUGAACGGCCACAUUGGGACUGAGACACGGCCCAGACUCCUACGGGAGGCAGCAGUGGGGAAUAUUGCACAAUGGGGGAAACCCUGAUGCAGCGACGCCGCGUGGAGGAAGAAGGUCUUCGGAUUGUAAACUCCUGUUGUUGGGGAAGAUAAU
RNAcentral lists this ribosomal RNA (429 nucleotides) under uncultured bacterium. RNAcentral's name for it is "bacterial SSU rRNA". It matches the Rfam family "Bacterial small subunit ribosomal RNA", at positions 28 to 452 of the family's 1533-position model. The record is from RNAcentral.